GACGAACGCUGGCGGCGUGCUUAACACAUGCAAGUCGAACGGAAAGGCCCUGCUUGCAGGGUACUCGAGUGGCGAACGGGUGAGUAACACGUGGGUGAUCUGCCCUGCACUUCGGGAUAAGCUUGGGAAACUGGGUCUAAUACCGGAUAGGAGCCAUCUUUAGUGUGGUGGUUGGAAAGUUUUUUCGGUGUAGGAUGAGCUCGCGGCCUAUCAGCUUGUUGGUGGGGUAAUGGCCUACCAAGGCGGCGACGGGUAGCCGGCCUGAGAGGGUGUACGGCCACAUUGGGACCUAGGUACGGCCCAGACUCCCAAGGGAGGAAGCAGUGGGGAAUAUUGCACAAUGGGCGCAAGCCUGAUGCAGCGACGCCGCGGGGGGGAUGAAGGCCUUCGGGUUGUAAACUCCUUUCGCUAGGGACGAAGCUUUUUGUGACGGUACCUAGAGAAGAAGCACCGGCUAACUACGUG
This 465-nucleotide ribosomal RNA is filed under the name uncultured bacterium. RNAcentral's name for it is "partial 16S ribosomal RNA". It matches the Rfam family "Bacterial small subunit ribosomal RNA", at positions 28 to 507 of the family's 1533-position model. The record is from RNAcentral.